AGUGGGGGAUAUUGCACAAUGGACGAAAGUCUGAUGCAGCGACGCCGCGUGGAGGAUGACGGUCUUCGGAUUGUAAACUCCUGUUAAGCGGGAAGAAAUCUUUACGAGUAAUAUGCGUAAAGGAUGACGGUACUGCUAGAGAAAGCUCCGGCUAACUUCGUGCCAGCAGCCGCGGUAAGACGAAGGGAGCAAGCGUUAUUCGGAAUCACUGGGCGUAAAGAGCGUGUAGGCGGCUAAUUAAGUCGAUUGUUAAAUUCCCUGGCUUAACUAGGGGUCAGCAAUUGAUACUGAUUAGCUAGAGGACAAGAGAGAGAAGUGGAAUUCUCGGAGUAGCGGUAAAAUGCAUAGAUCUCGAGAGGAACACCGGUUGCGAAGGCGGCUUCUUGGCUUGUAUCUGACGCUAAAGCGCGAAAGCGUGGGGAGCAAACAGGAUUAGAUACCCUGGUAGUCCACGCUGUAAACGAUGAUCACUAGAUGUGGGUUCUGUUUAACAGGAUCUGUGUCGAAGCUAACGCGUUAAGUGAUCCGCCUGGGAAGUACGGUCGCAAGAUUAAAACUCAAAGGAAUUGACGGGGGUCCGCACAAGCGGUGGAACAUGUGGUUUAAUUCGACACUACGCGAGGAACCUUACCUAGGCUUGACAUGUAACUGACUGCUGUCGAAAUACGGCUUUCCAGGUUUACCUGGACAGUUACACAGGUGCUGCAUGGCUGUCGUCAGCUCGUGUCGUGAGAUGUUGGGUUAAGUCCUUUAACGAGCGCAACCCUUGCCAUCAGUUGCUACUUUCGUAAGAGAGGCACUCUGGUGGGACUGCCUAGGAAACUAGGAGGAAGGUGGGGAUGACGUCAAGUCCGCAUGGCCCUUAUGCCUAGGGCGACACACGUGUUACAAUGGCUAGUACAAAGGGAUGCAAACCCGCGAGGGGGAGCAAACCUCAUAAAGCUAGUCUAAGUUCGGAUUGAAGUCUGCAACCCGACUUCAUGAAGUUGAAAUCGCUAGUAAUCGCGUAUCAGAAUGACGCGGUGAAUACGUUCUCGGACCUUGUACACACCGCCCGUCACACCACGAAAGUCGUUUAUACCCGAAGUUAUUUUAGCUAACCCGUAAGGGGGGCGGAUAAUCAAGGUGUGGAGGAUGAUUGGGGUG
Molecule: ribosomal RNA, 1146 nt
Filed under: uncultured bacterium
Lineage: Bacteria
Description: bacterial SSU rRNA
Rfam family: Bacterial small subunit ribosomal RNA
Source: RNAcentral